RNAcentral lists this ribosomal RNA (425 nucleotides) under uncultured eukaryote. RNAcentral's name for it is "bacterial SSU rRNA". It matches the Rfam family "Eukaryotic small subunit ribosomal RNA", at positions 592 to 1018 of the family's 1831-position model. The record is from RNAcentral.
CAAUAGCGUAUAUUAAUGUUGUUGCAGUUAAAAAGCUCGUAGUUGGAUCUCUAACGCACGCGGCCGGUCCGCCCCUCACGGGGUGUGCACUGCGCCGUCGUGCGUUAUCCUGGGGGAGAGCGUCCCGCGCAUUAGGUUGUGUGGGUCGGGAUCCUCCACGUUUACUCAAAAUAAAUAAGAGUGUUCAAAGCAGGCGAUUGCUGUGAAUUCUUCAGUUGGGAAUAAUAAGAUAGGACUCGGGGACUAUUUUGUUGGUUUGCAUCUCCGAGUAAUGAUUAAUAGGGACAGUUGGAGAUAUUCAUAUUCAGUUGUCAGAGGUGAAAUUCUUGGAUUUACGGAAGAUGAACUACUGCGAAAGCAUUUAUCGAGGAUGUUUUCUUUAAUCAAGAACGAAAGUUAGGGGAUCGAAGAUGAUCAGAUACCAU